GAUGGGCACCACAAGAACGCGUGGAGCAUGUGGCUUAAUUUGACUCAACCCGGGAAAUCUUACCAGGUCCAGACAUAUUGAGGAUUGACAGGCGAUAGUAUAUAAAAUAUAUUUUUAUAUGCAUAAAAAUGAUAGUCCUUUCAUGAUUAUAUGAUAGGUGGUGCAUGGCCGUUCUUAGUUCGUGGAGUGAUUUGUCUGCUUAAUUGCGUUUCAGUAAAUAAAAUAUAUAAUAUAUUAUAAUAUUUAGUUCUGCCAUUUAUUUAUGGAUUUAAAGUGAACAUAUUAUAUAUAUUAUUAUAUAAUAAAUGAAUGCAACGAACGUGACCGUAACCUUUUAUUGCUAUUGAAAAUUAUAAUUAUAGCAUAAAAUUAAAGGAACCGCUGUCAUUACUAAAUAUGUGUUAAAAUAGAGUAAGAUUAUGGCAAUAACAGGUCUGUGAUGCCCUCAGAUGUUCUGGGCUGCACACGUGCUACAAUAAUUACAUUAAUAAGUAUAUAUACUUUAUAAUAUAUAAUAUUAUAUUACAACCUAUUUCGAAAGUAAAUCGGUAAUCAUUUAAAAAUCGUGAUUAAUUAAUAUAAAUAUAAUUAAUUUAAGGUGGGGAUAGUGUAUUGUUAAUUAUUACACUUGGCCUUAACUAGGAAUGCCUUGUACUCUUCUUUGGUUUAACAUACCAAGAGGAAUACGUCCCUGCCCUUUGUACACACCGCCCGUCGCUCUUACCGAUGAAUUAUAUUAUAAAUCUAAGGGAUUUAUUAUAAUUAAAAUAUAAAAAACUUAUAUACAUAAUGGAUUUAAAGGAAAGAGAAGUCGAACAAGGCA
This 823-nucleotide ribosomal RNA is filed under the name Sorites orbiculus. RNAcentral's name for it is "SSU rRNA". It matches the Rfam family "Eukaryotic small subunit ribosomal RNA", at positions 1159 to 1801 of the family's 1831-position model. Lineage: Eukaryota; Foraminifera; Miliolida; Soritidae. The record is from RNAcentral.